RNAcentral lists this non-coding RNA (174 nucleotides) under Aureoumbra lagunensis. The record is from RNAcentral. Lineage: Eukaryota; Pelagophyceae; Sarcinochrysidales; Sarcinochrysidaceae.
AAUGAAAUCUGAGAUGAAAUAUGUGAAUAUCAAUGAACUUUCAGCUUUCAGAAUUUUUUUUUCUUUCUCAUUUUUCUUUUGUCUUAACUACUGUUAUAUCAUCACUCUCAGUCUAAGAUCAAUCACAUCCAUUUAAAGAAGAAAAGAGUUCAAGAAAGAUGAGUCUUUUUUUUU